GCGGAUGUAGCCAAGUGGAUCAAGGCAGUGGAUUGUGAAUCCCAAUUGCGCGAA
RNAcentral lists this transfer RNA (54 nucleotides) under Rubus pungens var. oldhamii. RNAcentral's name for it is "partial tRNA-His". The record is from RNAcentral. Lineage: Eukaryota; Viridiplantae; Streptophyta; Magnoliopsida; Rosales; Rosaceae.